GGGCUCGUAGCUUAGCUUGGAUAGAGCGUCUGGCUUCGGACCAGAAGGUCGGGGGUUCGAAUCCCUCCGAGCUCA
RNAcentral lists this transfer RNA (75 nucleotides) under archaeon GW2011_AR5. Its description in RNAcentral is "tRNA-Arg". It matches the Rfam family "tRNA". Rfam says of the family: Transfer RNA (tRNA) molecules are approximately 80 nucleotides in length. Their secondary structure includes four short double-helical elements and three loops (D, anti-codon, and T loops). The record is from RNAcentral.